CAGGGGACGCUCUUGUUCUCUUAAAGUGUUAAAUUAUUGAAGAAGGAAAAAACGAAAUCUUAGCACCUGCAGAAGAGUGGUAGCAAAGUAAAAUUCAUUGAUACAGAAUAAUGAUGAAGUAAUAGUCAUAAGUCUGGAACCCCAGCGACAUCAUUAGUUAAUUCAUCGCUUCAAUGUUUUGUUCAGGAUACUUGUUUGUUGAAGAUAUGGCAAGAGUCCAACUUCUUCGGUAAUUUAGGCCGAGUCGGAAAAACACGAACGGGUCAAAGACACCAUGUGAGACGUCAUAACGAGUAACAACAAAUGGCUCAGGUUAUCACACUAUUAGCACUGAGCUUCUGGCGUUGUUUAUACAGACACAUAUUAUGAUAACUUCAUCCAGUGAGUGUAAGAAAUUCAGCAAUGUCAAUCCGGGACUCAGGACAUUCCCCCAAACUUUCGAUUCAUACUUUUACCAUAGUUCUGACGUGUGAAAGGAAAUUCAUGUGUAGGAAGUAAAAGCCUAGUUUUCAUUGAUAUGGCUACCACGGGUUCAAUGAGAUUGGAGCUCACACAUCCUGACAGAUUUCGGCUCACGUGAUCGCCCGAUAACCACGACCAAAUCACGGUCAUUUCAUCACAAUGCUACCUCUACUAACAUGCUGCUCUAACGUUUUUCAUGCCCAACAAUAACCGUAUAUUCACAACGUUUUCUUAUUUUACAGACUCGGAGAACGUUCACUUUACAGCGCAUCGCCUUCUGUGUGUUGCCUGCUUAACAACAACCAGCUCAGACGGUUAAGCGAUGACCGGUCUCACCCAUCAGCCGCAUGAGUUCAAAGGGUUGAGCCUGUCUAGACAACACAACGAGACUGCCGACGUUGAAUGGCCAGCGUGGCGGCCAUUUCAUCUGAAACACUGGGCUGUUUUGAUUUUGCUGAACACAGACAUGUUCUAAUCCUACUGAGUAAGAUAUAAAUAAGGCCAAGCAACGGAAUACUAAAGAGUUUAAAACUGUGUACUUUCAGACAUUUAAAGUCUAAUAGACUCAUAGGUAUCGCAAGUUUUCAAAAUAACACAUAAAUGUCGUAUUUAAUCAUUGAAAUUAGAGCAUCACCUAUUCCACUAGUUUUGCCAGAAGCAGAAACCGCACUACAGCGUUUGAGAAUUCACAAGAAAGCCAACAAUCCAGGGGUUGACACUUUCCAUCCUUGAAGCAUUGUGAAAGGUUUUUGGUCUAGGAAGUUUCAUGUGUAUUUUGAAACGACGAAGUUGAAAAUUACAAAGUUUUGAAAGUACAAUUUAAAGUAAUAGAUGUUGAUAGGAAAUGGGUGGAAAUUUAUGGGAGUGCAACAAAGAUUGUUUUGUUUAUGGAAAAGCUACUAAGCCUAGUAGUUGUCAUCUCUAAUUUCUAACUGCCGAACAAAGAGAAGACAACUUAGCCGACAGCAUUUGUUUCCAACUCUUUGGCUGCUCUUUUACCAUCAAACAAUGGGAUUAACCGUCACAUUAUAACAUCCCCGCGAUUAGUGACUCUGUCUGAUAUUAUUUAUGAGAAAUAUGGCAGAUUAUACUUUACAACAUAGAGCGGAUGAGGUAGUAGAAAAAAAAGAUGAAUAAAUGUGCCUGAGAGAAGACUAGAGCUAACAAUCGAAAUAUUUGAGCUUAUGCCCUAAAGUAUGUGGAAACACAUAGGAAACAGCUUACAGUAUCUGAAACUACAUAAGAGAAAUAUGAGUGUAUAGAAAGUAGCUGGCAAUAUCUGUGGAUGAUAUUUGGUAUUUUCAACUUGAGCUACAUUUUAUGUGAUAUUCCUAAUUUGAGCUGUUGACCUUAUGGAGGGCAACCAUAAAAGAUCACCCGUCUUCUAGACGGUUACUCUUAACCAAAUAGUGGGUUUGCCUGUCACUCUUAUAAUGCGCCUACAAAUGAAAGUGUAAAAUGUCAUAUUAUAGGCCAAGAUGUCUAGUAUAUGUAAUUUCGUAGAAAUAGCCAACAAUGAAUACUUAUGUACAUGAGAUGGCUGAUCGUGAACUGGAGUACAUAAGAAAGGAUAACGAUAGCUAGAACUUGAAAUCCUAUAUAUAUUUUCAAAACAGAUUAAUAAAAAUACUUUGAAACAUCUUUAAACAUAGAAAUGCCAUUCAUUUUUGCAUGUUUUUUCAUCAAUACUUGUCAAAAACUGAUCGAACGAUUCUGAUUUGAAUAAGUUCAGUAACAAAUAUCUAAGUCAAGUGUCACUAAAUAAUAAAAUUUGAAUCAGAUUAUUUCUAAAUUCAACUUAUCUUGUUCGACAAAAAAAUUAAUGGCAGAAUGUUGAAAUUAAUCUGAAAAAACAUGCAUAUUGUGUGCUGCAUACGCGUGUGUUACUCCAUUUACAAGCUUCCUAACCACGUGCUUGCUUUGAAGAAUAGCAAAUAAUUAUCCUAAAAUCGUUUGUUAUUGAUUAUAAGUAGCCUAAAAUUGUUCUCAAAUUAUAGAAAAUCUGGUAUUGAUUAUUUAAGUUCAGGAAAACAGGAAAUAAACUUGAAAAAUCGUUUAGAUUUCAAUUAAAAUACCUUUCCAUUUUCCAAAACUUGAGUUUUAAGAUCAUGUGUUUAUGUAAAAGUUUGAUAAAUAACGUUGUCAUAUACUCCGCUUAGACGUAAAUAAGAUGUAAUUGCACAUUUUUCUCGUUAAAAAAUGAUUAUUUUAGAAAACCCAUUUCUCUAUUCGUUUAAUAUGUUGUUUCAAAAAAAGGAAAAUCUCUCUCUCUUUAAGCGUGAAAACUGUGGAAAACAAGUUAGAUGCCGUAUAUUAUACCGCAAUCAUAUUUGAUUUAUUUUUAUUACGUUACUAUGUUUUUAUCAAGAA
This is a long non-coding RNA of Limulus polyphemus (Atlantic horseshoe crab), 2832 nucleotides long. RefSeq lists it as uncharacterized. NCBI's taxonomy places the organism in Eukaryota, Metazoa, Arthropoda, Merostomata, Xiphosura, Limulidae. The record is from RefSeq and is a predicted model, not a curated record. The transcript has 4 exons.